This 476-nucleotide ribosomal RNA is filed under the name uncultured organism. RNAcentral describes it as "partial 16S ribosomal RNA". It matches the Rfam family "Bacterial small subunit ribosomal RNA", at positions 330 to 797 of the family's 1533-position model. The record is from RNAcentral.
CGUACACUCCUACGGGAGGCAGCAGUGGGGAAUAUUGCACAAUGGGCGCAAGCCUGAUGCAGCCAUGCCGCGUGUAUGAAGAAGGCCUUCGGGUUGUAAAGUACUUUCAGCGGGGAGGAAGGCAAUACGGUUAAUAACCGUGUUGAUUGACGUUACCCGCAGAAGAAGCACCGGCUAACUCCGUGCCAGCAGCCGCGGUAAUACGGAGGGUGCAAGCGUUAAUCGGAAUUACUGGGCGUAAAGCGCACGCAGGCGGUCUGUCAAGUCGGAUGUGAAAUCCCCGGGCUCAACCUGGGAACUGCAUUCGAAACUGGCAGGCUUGAGUCUUGUAGAGGGGGGUAGAAUUCCAGGUGUAGCGGUGAAAUGCGUAGAGAUCUGGAGGAAUACCGGUGGCGAAGGCGGCCCCCUGGACAAAGACUGACGCUCAGGUGCGAAAGCGUGGGGAGCAAACAGGAUUAGAAACCCUGGUAGUCCCA